AAAGACACUCCCACCAGCACUUUGGGAGGCCGAGGCGGGCAGAUCACGAGGUCGGGAGAUCGAGACCAUCCUGGCUAACAUGGUGAAACCCGGUCUCUACUAAAAAAUACAAAAAAAAAAAAGUUAGCCGGGCGUGGUGGCGGGCGCCUGUGGUCCCAGCUACUUGGAGGCUGAGGCAGGAGAAUGGCGUGAACCCGGGAGGCGGAGCUU
Molecule: long non-coding RNA, 210 nt
Filed under: Homo sapiens (human)
Lineage: Eukaryota; Metazoa; Chordata; Mammalia; Primates; Hominidae
Description: HSALNT0373928
Source: RNAcentral